This 293-nucleotide ribosomal RNA is filed under the name uncultured bacterium. RNAcentral's name for it is "partial 16S ribosomal RNA". It matches the Rfam family "Bacterial small subunit ribosomal RNA", at positions 775 to 1067 of the family's 1533-position model. The record is from RNAcentral.
GGAUUAGAUACCCUGGUAGUCCAUGCUGUAAACGAUGUCUACUAACUGUUGUGUCCCUUGCGGGCUCAGUAGUGAAGCUAACGCGCUAAGUAGACCGCCUGGGGAGUACGACCGCAAGGUUAAAACUCAAAUGAAUUGACGGGGGCCCGCACAAGCGGUGGAGCAUGUGGUUUAAUUCGAUGCAACGCGAACAACCUUACCAGGUCUUGACAUCCUGCGAAGGCACCAGAGACGGUGCUGUGCCGAGAGGAAUGCAGAGACAGGUGCUGCAUGGCUGUCGUCAGCUCGUGCUG